GGAGAGGUGUCGGAGCGGCUGAUCGAGCAGCCUUGGAAAGGCUGUGUAGGGUUUACUCUACCGUGGGUUCGAAUCCCACCCUCUCCG
This 87-nucleotide transfer RNA is filed under the name Phycisphaerales bacterium. Its description in RNAcentral is "tRNA-Ser". It matches the Rfam family "tRNA". From Rfam's summary of the family: Transfer RNA (tRNA) molecules are approximately 80 nucleotides in length. Their secondary structure includes four short double-helical elements and three loops (D, anti-codon, and T loops). Lineage: Bacteria; Pseudomonadati; Planctomycetota; Phycisphaerae; Phycisphaerales. The record is from RNAcentral. RNAcentral also lists the same sequence under 2 other names.